ACGUGGUGCGCCAGCUUUGCCCCAUCUGAUACCGGACGAGCACACAAGCGUAGAAGACGGCAUGUUCCCGGUCGACCCUGCGCACGAGUCGGCACUCGCGGACCCGCUGUUUAUGCUGCGGCUGUACAAGCGAGUCGCGUACGGUCUUGUGCGGCGCCCGCACGCCGACGGCGCCCGAGCUUUGCUGCCUUCGUUCCUUUCUGUGGACGCCCGCUACGCCGAGUCGAACAACGCCGCGGUUGACCCGGCGGCGCUGCUCACCGCUGUGGAGCCGAUAUUCCCGACGUCUUUGCUGACACACAAGGAGGUCUGCCUUCUUCUUCGCGUCCUGCCGCUGGAGGAGGAGGAGUCGGCGCCGAGCGCAGAGAAUGAGAACGCCUUCGGGGUGGCACAGAGGGGCAGGGGCAGCUCCGUCCCUAGAGGCAUCCGACCGGGUAGUGUCACGCUGGCGUUGCGGGAGAUCAUCCCGUUUCGGACGUGGCAGGUAUCGCAGACUGUGGCGACUGUCCGCCGUACGGUGCAAAAGAGUGCCGUCAUGAGCCCCUUCGAAGAGCACGUCGUGGACCUGCUGGAUUGGCAGAGCAGCCGCCGCCGCCAGGCAAAGGAGGCAGCUCCACCUCCGCUGGAGCGCUGGGAGGCGCUGACGUUUAUGGAGAACACCUGUGGGCUGAGCAGCUCCGAAUCGCGUGGGCUGCUGCACUACUGCGCCAGCGAGGAGGGCGAUGACGCCGAGGACGGGGCGACGACCGGCUCGUACCUGGGCUGCGAGGUGCAACUGCUGCACCAGCUGCUGUUCAGCGAAGUGAUCCCUGGUGUCGCCGAGUAUCCGCUGCUGAUGGGACGCUUCGCAGAAGCUACCCUAGAGAUUGGAGAGACGGAGGGUUGUCACACCGGCACGCUUGCCCUCCUGAGCGUCCUGGAGUCGAUUGAGCUUCAUUACCCGGAGUGCAGCCGACGGCUGCCACCGGAUUUAGAUAUCGGGACGCUGGUGCGGGCAGAGCUGACGCCGCGGCACUUCUUCUACGUGUGCACCCGGCUGCACACCGGGUUCCGCCAGGAGGAGUCUGAUCAGCUCUACUACUACCUCAAGAAGGACCGCGAAACCGAUGACGGCGUGCUUGUCGCGGACCUACUUGCCGCGUACCGGCAAUACUUCCCCUCAGUCACGGUCUCGAUGCUGCAGCUGGUGCAAGCGGCUGUGGUGCAGUGGAUACGACGCAAUGCCAAGGAUGCGCCAGCAUUUGUGCAGCUCUACUCAGCGCUGAGAGAGUGGGGUGCCGCGCAUGUUCCGAUCAAGUCGUUCAUUAAAGCGCUGCGCGCUGCUGGGGUGCCGGACGGUAUCUCGGGUGUGUUGGAUGUUGAGCUCGAGUGGCUGCGGCUGAAGUCCCCAACCCGCGUGGAUUUACUCCUGAUGCUAUGCAGCCCCGUCCCGCCGUCGCGCACUGCCAUUAUUCGUAAGCUGUUCGACCGACUUGACGAGCGACGGCUUGGCACGGUUACCUGCGCUGUGGUUCUGAGGUGCUUCCAUCCAGAGCUCAUCGAAGGCAACGCCUUGCGUCGACAAGGCGCAAUGUGGAAGAAGGCGCUGGAGGCGUACGCCGCGGAGUUGGGGGAGGGGGAGCUCGACUACGACGUCUUCGCAUAUUUUUGGUACAUGAUUUCCGCCGACAUCGAGGACGACCCAACAUUCACGAUGGCCCUCUGGCAGGCGUUCGGCCUCUCCGAUGACGGGCAACGAUCUAGACGCACCUAGUGUCGUUGUAAGGGGAGGCAAAGAGGUGCGCUAGGCCGGUGGAGGGCGGCGAUGACAUGCCGAGCGGGAACAGGAUAAGUCCUCUGUUCCAGGUGCGAGCAUGCCUCGGUGCACAUGAGCAGCAGAGCACAGCACGCGCAUACUCGGCACCUCCGUCACGUCCGCCGAACGGCCUCUAAUCUACCCAAAUCGGCGUAUAGACGCCACCGAACAGGUACGUGUGAGCGAGUGCUUAGGCCUGUGCCUGUUUUACUCACCGCCGCCGCCCACGGUCGAGUGUUGUGACCUUCAUGCCAUCUUGACUACUCACCUUUUUCUCUCGGCUAG
Molecule: unclassified non-coding RNA, 2080 nt
Filed under: Leishmania donovani
Lineage: Eukaryota; Euglenozoa; Kinetoplastea; Trypanosomatida; Trypanosomatidae
Description: gene:LdHU3.18.1960(CDS-product:hypothetical_prote in_conserved)
Source: RNAcentral